RNAcentral lists this ribosomal RNA (468 nucleotides) under uncultured bacterium. RNAcentral's name for it is "bacterial SSU rRNA". It matches the Rfam family "Bacterial small subunit ribosomal RNA", at positions 437 to 919 of the family's 1533-position model. The record is from RNAcentral.
CAGCAGGGACGAAAAUGACGGUACCUGCAGAAGAAGCCCCGGCUAACUACGUGCCAGCAGCCGCGGUAAUACGUAGGGGGCAAGCGUUGUCCGGAUUCAUUGGGCGUAAAGAGCUCGUAGGCGGUUCAGUAAGUCGGGUGUGAAAGCUCCGAGCUCAACUCGGAGAGGCCACCCGAUACUGCUGUGACUUGAGUCCAGUAGAGGAGCGUGGAACUCCUGGUGUAGCGGUGGAAUGCGCAGAUAUCAGGAAGAACACCUGCAGCGAAGGCGGCGCUCUGGGCUGGAACUGACGCUGAGGAGCGAAAGCGUGGGUAGCAAACAGGAUUAGAUACCCUGGUAGUCCACGCCGUAAACGUUGGGCACUAGGUGUGGGGAGCCGUCAACGCUCUCUGUGCCGUAGCUAACGCAUUAAGUGCCCCGCCUGGGGAGUACGGCCGCAAGGCUAAAACUCAAAGGAAUUGACGGGGG